CCGUUGCUCCCACGACUCGGCCGCGUCGACCGAGAAUCAACGGAUCGAGGAUUCGUCCAAGUGAAGUUGAGGAAAGUGGCGGACGGGUGAGUAACGCGUGAGGAACCUGCCUCGGAUGGGGAAUAACAGUUGGAAACAGCUGCUAAUACCGCAUGAUGCAGUUGGGUCGCAUGACCCUGACUGCCAAAGAUUUAUCGCUCUGAGAUGGCCUCGCGUCUGAUUAGCUAGUUGGCGGGGUAACGGCCCACCAAGGCGACGAUCAGUAGCCGGACUGAGAGGUUGGCCGGCCACAUUGGGACUGAGACACGGCCCAGACUCCUACGGGAGGCAGCAGUGGGGAAUAUUGGGCAAUGGGCGCAAGCCUGACCCAGCAACGCCGCGUGAAGGAAGAAGGCUUUCGGGUUGUAAACUUCUUUUGUCAGGGACGAAGCAAGUGACGGUACCUGACGAAUAAGCCACGGCUAACUACGUGCCAGCAGCCGCGGUAAUACGUAGGUGGCAAGCGUUAUCCGGAUUUAUU
Molecule: ribosomal RNA, 520 nt
Filed under: uncultured bacterium
Lineage: Bacteria
Description: bacterial SSU rRNA
Rfam family: Bacterial small subunit ribosomal RNA
Source: RNAcentral